GUGACUAACACUUACUUACACUAAAAUUAGAACAAUACAGAGAAGAUUAUUAGCAUGGCCCCUGGGCAAGGAUGACAUGCAAACAUGUGAUGUGAUAAGUAUUUCU
Molecule: small nuclear RNA, 106 nt
Organism: Moschus moschiferus (Siberian musk deer)
Lineage: Eukaryota; Metazoa; Chordata; Mammalia; Artiodactyla; Moschidae
Source: Ensembl